CCCUUAGAUGUUCUGGGCCGCACGCGCGCUACACUGAUGCAUUCAACGAGCCUAUCCUUGACCGACAGGUCCGGGUAAUCUUUGAAUCUGCAUCGUGACGGGGAUAGAUUAUUGCAAUUAUUAAUCUUCAACGAGGAAUGCCUAGUAGGCGCAAGUCAUCAGCUUGCGUCGAUUACGUCCCUGCCCUUUGUACACACCGCCCGUCGCUCCUACCGAUUGAAUGGUUUAGUGAGGCCUUCGGAUCCGCGACUCGUUUUGUGGAGAAGUUGGACAAACUCAGUCAUUUAGAGGAAGUAAAAGUCGUAACA
Molecule: ribosomal RNA, 308 nt
Filed under: uncultured eukaryote
Lineage: Eukaryota
Description: partial 18S ribosomal RNA
Rfam family: Eukaryotic small subunit ribosomal RNA
Source: RNAcentral